AAAACGCAGAAGAAAGAGAGGAAAAAAACAUCGUCCGUCGCGCGGCUUCACAAAACCGACGAAUCGGAGGCCGGAAACGAUAGAAUUUUCGGGGGCCGAAGGAGGGGCCGAGAAAGCGCAGCUUGUCGGCCCAAGGCGUCCGGCUCGGAGUGCUGUUUCCGGAUUGGGGCUGCACGUCAAAAACGGUCGCCCGAGCGCAAAGUUACGGCCGUUUUUCGGAACCCGGGCGCGAAUCGCGCCGUGCGCGCCCCAACCCGCGCACCGCGGAGGCGCCAUAAGAGGGCCGGCCGACACAAUAUUUUCGGAUGCGAUCAUACCAGCACUAAAGCACCGGAUCCCAUCAGAACUCCGCAGUUAAGCGUGCUUGGGCGAGAGUAGUACUAGGAUGGGUGACCCCCUGGGAAGUCCUCGUGUUGCAUCCCUCCUUUUUGCCGGCGGCCCGGGCGAGUCCGACGGAACCAUUUAUUUUUCCGACGGCUUAGAAAUUACUAGAUUUUGCAAUCAUUUUCGCGCGAUUGCUGUUGAAUUCUAUUGAAAAAGAAAUUAAAAAAUCCGCGUCGCGUCGCUGCCGCGCUUCCCCGAUGUAUCGUUGUAAUUCGUUGUCGUGAAAUUAUCGAUUGUCGUUUUUCGAAGGAGUUGCCGAGAAAGGGCAGCUUAUGCCCAUGGCUUCGGCCUCGGAGCGCUGUUUCCGGACUGGGGCUGCACGUCAAAAACGGUCGCCCGAGCGCAAAGUUACGGCCGUUUUUCGGAAGUCGGGCGCGAAUCGCCCCGUGCGCGCCCCAACCCGCGCACCGCGGAGGCGCCAUAAGAGCGCCGGCCGACACAAUAUUUUCGGAUGCGAUCAUAUCAGCACUAAAGCACCGGAUCCCAUCAGAACUCCGCAGUUAAGCGUGCUUGGGCGAGAGUAGUACUAGGAUGGGUGACCCCCUGGGAAGUCCUCGUGUUGCAUCCCUCAUUUUUGCCGGCGGCCCGGGCGAGUCCGAUCGAACCAUUUAUUUUUCCGACGGCUUAGAAAUUACUAGAUUUUGCAAUCAUUUUCGCGCGAUUGCUGUUGAAUUCUAUUGAAAAGAAAUUAAAAAAUCCGCGUCGCGCCGAUGCCGCGCUUCCCCGAUGUUGCUGUCGUUCUCUGAAAUUAUCGUUGUAAUUUUUCGAAACGAAAUGAAAGAUUCGCACGGCCUCGGCCGGUCGAUUUCCGCGGACGCACACGAGUUCGCCGAAAAGGGAAGAGAAAUAAUAAAAAAAAAAAAAAAAAAAAAAAAAAAAAAAAAAAAAAAAAAA
Molecule: long non-coding RNA, 1278 nt
Filed under: Ananas comosus (pineapple)
Lineage: Eukaryota; Viridiplantae; Streptophyta; Magnoliopsida; Poales; Bromeliaceae
Source: RNAcentral